This 976-nucleotide long non-coding RNA is filed under the name Pan troglodytes (chimpanzee). RNAcentral describes it as "long non-coding RNA NONPTRT010517". Lineage: Eukaryota; Metazoa; Chordata; Mammalia; Primates; Hominidae. The record is from RNAcentral.
CCCAAGUACACAUCUUCUUAUCCACAAGGAUGAAACUGUGUAGGGCUCACCCUGAGGGCUCAUGUGUGGCAUUGAGAGGGUAGCAGUGACCAGAACACCACAAGGCCCACAAGAUGUUUUGAAUGAGGGAACAUUUAAUGUCAUUUGUUUAUAUUGGCCAGGCAUGGUGGCUCACUUCUGUAAUCCUAGCAUAGAGGAGGCCAAGACAGGAGAAUCAUUUGAGGCUAGGCAUUCGAGACCAGCCUGGGCAACACAGUGAGACCCCAUCGCUACCAAAAAAAAAAAAAAAAAAAAAAAAAAUCACAGGAACACAAGAGCCAACCUGAAAGAACUCCCAUGGUCAAAGCUAGAACAAACUGAGCAAUAAAAUAAACACUGUAUUAUUAGAUGAUAACACAUAGGAUAAACAUCCAUGAGCCCAUACUGAUAUAAAAAAUGAUUGAAUAAACAGGAUAAAUGGGGAAGAAAAACAAAUCUCUCACACAGAAUUUCAAUUAAUCUAUUAUUAGAUUAUAUUCCUCCUCACAGGAAGUGGAACUCAAGACUUUCUGUAUUGAAACAUAGCCACAGUCUUUCAUUUAUGUAUUGCCUAUGGCUGCUUUUGCUAUCCAAGGACAGGGUGGAGUAGUUGCAACAGAGACCAUGUGGUCCGCAAAGACAAAAAUAUUUACCCUAUGGCCCUUUAAAGAAAACUGAUUUGACUCCCGCUCUAAUUCUUGCAACCUGCUCCUCUUACCUCCUGCCCCUGAUAAGUACAUUUUACUCAGCAAGCUGGGGUCCCCUUCCCUGCUAGCGCCCCUCAUUAGCAGAAUCCCUCCAGGAAGGCUCACUCUGGCUUGCUUCUGCAGUGCCCACUUGGCCCAUGGAAAGUUUUGGCAUCCUUGUCCCACCAAAUAUGAGGGUGCAAGCCUGUCUCCUGUCCCUUCUCUCUUUGCCGUGCCUCUUGUGGGCUACUUGGACCCACCUCUCUUCUCUG